Molecule: non-coding RNA, 97 nt
Organism: Hordeum vulgare subsp. vulgare (domesticated barley)
Lineage: Eukaryota; Viridiplantae; Streptophyta; Magnoliopsida; Poales; Poaceae
Source: Rfam
AUACCUUUCUCGGCCUUUUGGCUAAGAUCAAGUGUAGUAUCUGUUUAAUAUCUGAUAUGUGGACUACAGACAGUAGCUUGAUUUCACUGAAUGCUUU